GUCACCGGACAGAAGUCACCAGGGCAGGAGACGCUCUGACUUUCUGAGAGGCAUGAAUUGACCUUCCGCCCUUCACCAGCUUCCUGAGAUAGCUUCCUGAAAAGUUACACUGCUUCAGGAUACAAGAGAGAUCCUACAUGAAGCAAUCGUAAACUGGAUUUUGGCACCAAUUACUUGUUUCUCCAAAGCAAUAAAAAAAAAACUCAAGGGCUUCCAUGGACACAUGGACAUGACAGACUAAUUGAAAGAGGAAAGCACGUAAUAGUGGAUCAAC
Molecule: long non-coding RNA, 274 nt
Filed under: Gallus gallus (chicken)
Lineage: Eukaryota; Metazoa; Chordata; Aves; Galliformes; Phasianidae
Source: RNAcentral